This 468-nucleotide ribosomal RNA is filed under the name uncultured bacterium. RNAcentral describes it as "partial 16S ribosomal RNA". It matches the Rfam family "Bacterial small subunit ribosomal RNA", at positions 28 to 507 of the family's 1533-position model. The record is from RNAcentral.
GACGAACGCUGGCGGCGUGCUUAACACAUGCAAGUCGAACGGAAAGGCCCUGCUUUUGUGGGGUGCUCGAGUGGCGAACGGGUGAGUAACACGUGAGUAACCUGCCCUUGACUUUGGGAUAACUUCAGGAAACUGGGGCUAAUACCGGAUAGGAGCUCCUGCAGCAUGGGGGGGGUUGGAAAGUUUCGGCGGUUGGGGAUGGACUCGCGGCUUAUCAGCUUGUUGGUGGGGUAGUGGCUUACCAAGGCUUUGACGGGUAGCCGGCCUGAGAGGGUGACCGGCCACAUUGGGACUGAGAUACGGCCCAGACUCCUACGGGAGGCAGCAGUGGGGAAUAUUGCACAAUGGGCGGAAGCCUGAUGCAGCAACGCCGCGUGCGGGAUGACGGCCUUCGGGUUGUAAACCGCUUUCGCCUGUGACGAAGCGUGAGUGACGGUAAUGGGUAAAGAAGCACCGGCUAACUACGUG